RNAcentral lists this long non-coding RNA (313 nucleotides) under Cyanistes caeruleus (blue tit). Its description in RNAcentral is "lncRNA (ENSCCEG00000006781.1)". The record is from RNAcentral. Lineage: Eukaryota; Metazoa; Chordata; Aves; Passeriformes; Paridae.
GACUGCAACAGGAUCUUCAGCCAGAAUUAUCACGUCAUCCUGACUGAGUCACCUCUCCUGAAAAGUCCAUGUUUUAGGCAUCAAGCAUUGCUAUUUCCCUGGGGAGAGCAUUCCACAGUCUAUUACAUUUCAUUGAGCAAGCUUUUGCCUUCUGUGAAGUUCAAAUGUUCAAACUGGAUCAUCCCAGAUAACUCCCUGAACCAAGUAAGUUUUAAAGUCAAUGAAUUCCAGAUCCCUUAGGGGAUUUUUAAAUGUGGGGUUUGAAGGUUAGGAGGGUUUUUGGUUUUUUGUUUGUUUGUUUGUUUGUUUGUUG